UCCGGGCCCCGCCGGUUUCAUAGACCUCGCGUUGCAGGGGGAGCCGGCGGGGGAGCGGGGCGGAGAGGUCGGGCCGGGUCGGGUCGGAGAGAGAGAAGGCUCGCUACGACGCGGAGGUCCAGGUGGAGGAGUCGAGAGACUGGGGGCUAGCGGCGGCUCGCGGAGGCGGUGACGGCCAGGUCCCCUGUUCAGUCCCGUUCAGAGGAAGGAAAAAAAGAGGAGGCGGUGGCGGUGCUGGGCUCCAACAUGUCCGUUUGGUGGUGGUGGUGGUGGUGGUGGCGGUGGUGGUGGUGGUGGCGGCGGCGGCGGCGGCGGCGGUGGUGGCGGCGGCUGCGCUUGGCGUCUCGUUGACACGGCCCCCCGCGCACACAUACAUACAAUCACUCACUCAUUCACUUACACGCACGCACAUACACCUACACUCGGGGUCAGGAAGCCGGCAGGCAGGCGGGCGGGCAGGCCAGCUAAGGUACGGGCCUUCUCCUCCUCCUCCGCUCUCUAUCACUCUCUUAGCCUGCGGGAUGGCGGCAGCGGCCGACUCCACGCCGCGCGGGGCACCCUGGGAUGGCUCAGACCUCCCAGCCGCUUCCUGUUUCUCGGCGGCGUGUACCUCUCCUCCCGCCACUCUUCCCCUCCCCCUCCUCAGUUCCCUUCCGAGAUACUUUUCCCCGCCCACUUCCUCUCGAGCUGGAGAACGGAGCUCUGCUAUUGCUGUGUGUGGCGGAGGCAGCGGAGGUAGAAGUGCCGGGCGGCGAGAGCGGUAGCACGUGAUGACCGAAAGCCCGAGAACCGAGCCGCUUCCGGCCGGCUCCGGGGUGCACGAGCCUGUUGUUGGAUUUGCUCGCCCCAGAAGACCUUCCUGGUGCCAGCCAGACCAUCGUAUUCUUUUCCCGCCUCAGCCGCCACCACCGCCAUCUUCUCCUACCGACCCUCCAGCCUCUUAUUUGAUGUUUUUGAAGCUCUACAGCGUCGUUGUCUGCUGUCUCCUUUCCUGCAACCUGAUCAGUCGGGUUGUUGGUCUUCGGUACAGGACGACAACCAACACGGUAUCCGUGUGUUGGGGUUCCCGCACAGCGUAUCCGACUCCCAUGAGCUCUAGACGGUUCCACCACAGGCGAGACACACGUGACAGAGAAGCGCCGGACCCUCUCCUUGGGAGUCUCUGA
RNAcentral lists this long non-coding RNA (1166 nucleotides) under Monodelphis domestica (gray short-tailed opossum). Its description in RNAcentral is "lncRNA (ENSMODG00000031288.2)". The record is from RNAcentral. Lineage: Eukaryota; Metazoa; Chordata; Mammalia; Didelphimorphia; Didelphidae.